RNAcentral lists this unclassified non-coding RNA (378 nucleotides) under plant metagenome. RNAcentral's name for it is "partial contains 5.8S ribosomal RNA, internal transcribed spacer 2, and large subunit ribosomal RNA". The stretch from base 1 to 105 matches the Rfam family "5.8S ribosomal RNA", at positions 50 to 154 of the family's 154-position model. The record is from RNAcentral.
GAAAUGCGAUAAGUAAUGUGAAUUUCAGAAUUCAGUGAAUCAUCGAAUCUUUGAACGCACCUUGCGCUCCUUGGUAUUCCUUGGAGCAUGCCUGUUUGAGUAUCAUGAAAUCUUCAAAGUAAAUCUUUUGUUAACUCAAUUGGUUUCUACUUUGGUAUUGGAGGUCUUUGCAGCUUCACACCUGCUCCUCUUUGUUCAUUAGCUGGAUCUCAGUGUUAUGCUUGGUUCCACUCGGCGUGAUAAGUUAUCUAUCGCUGAGGACACUGUAAAAGGUGGCCAAGGUAAAUGCAGAUGAACCGCUUCUAAUAGUCCAUUGACUUGGACAAUACUUUUAUGAUCUGAUCUCAAAUCAGGUAGGACUACCCGCUAAACUUAAGC